UACGUAGGGAGCAAGCGUUGUUCGGAUUUACUGGGCGUAAAGGGCGCGUAGGCGGCGCGGUAAGUCACUUGUGAAAUCUCUGAGCUUAACUCAGAACGGCCAAGUGAUACUGCAGUGCUAGAGUGCAGAAAGGGCAAUCGGAAUUCUUGGUGUAGCGGUGAAAUGCGUAGAUAUCAAGAGGAACACCUGAGGCGAAGGCGGGUUGCUAGGCUGACACUGACGCUGAGGCGCGAAAGCCAGGGGAGCAAACGGGAUUAGAAACCCGUGUAGUCC
Molecule: ribosomal RNA, 273 nt
Filed under: uncultured prokaryote
Description: partial 16S ribosomal RNA
Rfam family: Bacterial small subunit ribosomal RNA
Source: RNAcentral